GGUGUAGCCAAGCGGUAAGGCACCGGAUUUUGAUUCCGGCAUUCGUAGGUUCAAAUCCUGCCACC
RNAcentral lists this transfer RNA (65 nucleotides) under human gut metagenome. It matches the Rfam family "tRNA". Rfam says of the family: Transfer RNA (tRNA) molecules are approximately 80 nucleotides in length. Their secondary structure includes four short double-helical elements and three loops (D, anti-codon, and T loops). Further hydrogen bonds mediate the characteristic L-shaped molecular structure. tRNAs have two regions of fundamental functional importance: the anti-codon, which is responsible for specific mRNA codon recognition, and the 3' end, to which the tRNAs corresponding amino acid is attached (by aminoacyl-tRNA synthetases). tRNAs cope with the degeneracy of the genetic code in two manners: having more than one tRNA (with a specific anti-codon) for a particular amino acid; and 'wobble' base-pairing, i.e. permitting non-standard base-pairing at the 3rd anti-codon position. The record is from RNAcentral.